UUUUAAAUCUAAUAAAUCAUAAAUUUAAUCUAGAUCAUAUCUAACAAAUUUAUGAUUAAAGAUAGAUGUACACAAACUAGGACAACCUUUGCACUGUAAGGGGUAAACCUUACAGCAGGACAACCUUGCAGUUUGUGAUUGAUCUAAAAUUUUAAUUUUAGAUUUAAUAAUCAGAUUAUAAAUUAUAUUUAAUCUAAAAAAUAAUCUAAGCAUGUAUAAAUAAUCAUGUAAUAAAGAAUCUGGCUCUAAUACCAAUUGUAGGAACC
Molecule: long non-coding RNA, 266 nt
Filed under: Elaeis guineensis (African oil palm)
Lineage: Eukaryota; Viridiplantae; Streptophyta; Magnoliopsida; Arecales; Arecaceae
Description: long non-coding RNA (EGUI_LNC069351)
Source: RNAcentral